CCUGUACCCAUCCCCAUGUCUCCCCGCUUGCUCUGAGGGCCUGCACUCACAAGGUGGGGGUCCCCAGUGUGAAGACACCCUGUGGAGCUGCUGUCCCUCACACUGGGCCUCCCCAGGACAGGACGGACGUCACCCGGCCCCACCAGAACAGAGUGCUUCCCAUGGGGCUCCCAGGCAGGCCACUCAGCUGGAUUUUGUGAGCUCUGGAGGCCCAAGAAUCCUGAGCCUGGUUCCUGGAUGCCAUCACCUGCCCAGGUUGGGCCAGCAGGGACCCAAACCUCAGGAGAAAAUAAGAAUCUGCCUCCGACAGGUCCCAAACUGCGGGAAAGGAGCUGAGCUGUGGGGCCCUGGGCCCUGGCAGGGGAGGCGGCGCUCAUGCCACCCUUUAUUUCCACUUCAUGUUGGAAAGGGUUUUGUUCUGCUUCGUUUUUUCCAGGUGGAAAUGCCGGGUGGGCGGUGCCUCUUAUUUCUUGGCACUCGCUUGCUUUCCCCCUGCAGGGCGUCUGCAUUCGUUUUCCUCUUUAUUGGUGGUUUCGAGGGCCUUGGUUAUAUUGUUCCUUGUUGUUUUCUUCACGUUGGUGGUUCCUUGAGCCUUUUGGCCUUGUGGCUUCAGAGUCAUUGUCCCAUCUGGAAAUUUUCCAGCCAAUGUUUCCUCUGAUCGUUUUCCUGGGGAUUGCAAUUGCACACAUCGGCUCAGGCCACUUGACGUCUCCCACGUCUCACUGAGGCCGUCCAUUCACUGUUUGGUUUCUUCUGUCUCCUUUCACUCUGUGCUUCACCUGGGUGGUUUCUGUUGCAAGUCUGCAAGUCUGCGGGCCGAGCCUCCGGUAAUGUCCAACCUGAUAUGGACCCCAUGAUGUAUUCCACACCUUAACCAGGGCCGAGUUUUCAUCUUUGGAGGUUAGACACUUUCAUGUCAUUUACAUUUCCAGUUCACACUCUGUUCCCCCCUGGUGCUUCCCCUGGUGCUACAGACAGUAGCUUUUAACAGUCUUGUAU
This 999-nucleotide long non-coding RNA is filed under the name Marmota monax (woodchuck). Lineage: Eukaryota; Metazoa; Chordata; Mammalia; Rodentia; Sciuridae. The record is from RNAcentral.